Long non-coding RNA from Vitis vinifera (wine grape), 893 nucleotides. RefSeq lists it as uncharacterized. The record is from RefSeq and is a predicted model, not a curated record. NCBI's taxonomy places the organism in Eukaryota, Viridiplantae, Streptophyta, Magnoliopsida, Vitales, Vitaceae. The transcript is spliced from 3 exons.
GAAGAUAAAGGUGAUGUCUGCUCUAUUAGGCUCCAAUGAUCAAAUUUGUGAAAGAAUGGAAUCAUCUGUGUUGCCUUUGGAGUUCAAUAGGAACACUGAUCGGUGCAUAAUUCAAAGUGCAAUGUUGCAAUCUGUCCAAAGCAAUGUUUCUGAAGUUAUGGAUGCUUCUGCUUCUAGGGUGUCUAUACAUGAAUGUUUUAGAAUUGUUGGAGAAAAGAUUGUUAUACAACAAGCUCACGAAAAAAAGAUUGCUCUAUCUAGAAGUCUGAUUAUGAGUACGAGGAAUAUCUAUCCACACUACUGGAAUCAAGAGCUCUUCUCAAAAUUUAUUUUUCACUGUUAAUCUUAUUGAACACUGUCUGGUUCAGUUAUGGCCAUAUCUCUCAUGUCUCAGAUCUGUGGACUUUAACUUUACUUUUCUAAAAACUUCCAAUUUUUUCGCAGUAUGAUGUGCCCUUGGAGGAAAGCCAAGAUUGCAGCUGGGCACCCUUGGACAAACUAUGGUGUGCACUAUCCACCAGCCAAGUAUUGAUAUAUUUGAUGCUUUUGAUGAGCUAUUUCUUUUGAAACGAGGAGGAGAGGAAAUAUAUGCAGGCCCAUUAGAACACCAUUCUGCACAUCUGAUUAAGUACUUUGAGGGAAUUGAUGGAGUCAGUAAGAUAAAAUAUGGUUACAAUCAGGCAACUUAGAUGUUGGAAGUGACUUCAGCAGCACAAGAAACAGCUCUAGGCAUUAACUUCACCGAUGUGUACAAGAACUCUGAACUAUAUAGGUAGGAGUGUAGGACCACAUCAAUGUUUGAGAAACAGGCUAAGGUGGAUGCCAUACUUCUAAAUUUCUGUAUUAUUCCUUGAACUUACUUCCAGAAAUAAUCUGGAUUUGAAUAGCUUAUA